This 90-nucleotide transfer RNA is filed under the name Candidatus Falkowiibacteriota bacterium. Its description in RNAcentral is "tRNA-Ser". It matches the Rfam family "tRNA". From Rfam's summary of the family: Transfer RNA (tRNA) molecules are approximately 80 nucleotides in length. Their secondary structure includes four short double-helical elements and three loops (D, anti-codon, and T loops). Further hydrogen bonds mediate the characteristic L-shaped molecular structure. tRNAs have two regions of fundamental functional importance: the anti-codon, which is responsible for specific mRNA codon recognition, and the 3' end, to which the tRNAs corresponding amino acid is attached (by aminoacyl-tRNA synthetases). tRNAs cope with the degeneracy of the genetic code in two manners: having more than one tRNA (with a specific anti-codon) for a particular amino acid; and 'wobble' base-pairing, i.e. permitting non-standard base-pairing at the 3rd anti-codon position. The record is from RNAcentral. Lineage: Bacteria; Candidatus Falkowiibacteriota.
GGAGAGGUGCUAGAGUGGUUGAAUAGGACGCUCUCGAAAAGCGUUGUGCCUUCACGGGCACCGCGGGUUCGAAUCCCGCCCUCUCCGCCA